GACGAACGCUGGCGGCGUGCUUAACACAUGCAAGUCGAGCGGUAAGGCCCUUUCGGGGUACGACGAGCGGCGAACGGGUGAGUAACACGUGGGUGACCUGCCCUCAGCUCUGGGAGUAAGCCUGGGAAACCGGGUCGUAAUACUGGAUAUGACUCCAUGACGCAUGUUGUGGGGUGGAAAGCCUUGUGCGGCUGAGGAUGGGCCCGCGGCCUAUCAGCUUGUUGGUGGGGUGANGGCCUACCAAGGCGACGACGGGUAGCCGGCCU
This 266-nucleotide ribosomal RNA is filed under the name uncultured bacterium. RNAcentral describes it as "partial 16S ribosomal RNA". It matches the Rfam family "Bacterial small subunit ribosomal RNA", at positions 28 to 293 of the family's 1533-position model. The record is from RNAcentral.